Molecule: ribosomal RNA, 469 nt
Filed under: uncultured bacterium
Lineage: Bacteria
Description: bacterial SSU rRNA
Rfam family: Bacterial small subunit ribosomal RNA
Source: RNAcentral
GAUGAACGCUGGCGGCGUGCUUAACACAUGCAAGUCGAACGAAGAUGCCGGAGUGCUUGCACUUUGGCAGACUGAGUGGCGGACGGGUGAGUAACGCGUGGGUAACCUGCCUUAUACAGGGGGAUAACAGUUGGAAACGACUGCUAAUACCGCAUAAGCGCACGGUAUCGCAUGAUACAGUGUGAAAAACUCCGGUGGUAUAAGAUGGACCCGCGUCUGAUUAGCUAGUUGGUGAGGUAACGGCCCACCAAGGCGACGAUCAGUAGCCGGCCUGAGAGGGUGAACGGCCACAUUGGGACUGAGACACGGCCCAAACUCCUACGGGAGGCAGCAGUGGGGAAUAUUGCACAAUGGGGGAAACCCUGAUGCAGCGACGCCGCGUGAGUGAUGAAGUAUUUCGGUAUGUAAAACUCUAUCAGCAGGGAAGAUAAUGACGGUACCUGACUAAGAAGCACCGGCUAAAUACGNG